This 528-nucleotide ribosomal RNA is filed under the name Rhizoplaca melanophthalma. RNAcentral describes it as "partial ribosomal RNA". The stretch from base 216 to 377 matches the Rfam family "5.8S ribosomal RNA". Lineage: Eukaryota; Fungi; Ascomycota; Lecanoromycetes; Lecanorales; Lecanoraceae. The record is from RNAcentral.
GCGAACCUGAUCCGAGGGGUUUUUGGACAAUGGGGGCUUCGGCCCCCGCAUCUCUUCACCCUAAGUUUACAGGUACCUUCGUUGCUUUGGCGGCUUUGUCUUGGGGCUCGCCCCCUAGCCGGCUGCUGGCCUCGUGCCCCGAGCCGGUCCGUGCCCGCCUGGGGCCCAUCAAAUUCCGUUCAUCAGUGCCGUCCGAGCAAAACCACAAUAGUAAAAACUUUCAACAACGAUGAUCUCUUGGUUCUGGCAUCGAUGAAGAACGCAGCGAAAUGCGAUAAGUAAUUCGUGAAUUGCAGAAUUCAGUGAAUCCGUUAUCGAAUCUUUGAACGCACAUUGCGCCCCUCGGUAUUCCGGGGGGCAUGCCUGUUCGAGCGUCAUUGACACCCCUCAAGCUUAGCUUGGUAUUGGGUCUUCGCCCCAACGUGGCGGGCCCGAAAGUCAGAAUGGCGAAGUUCGGCGCGACUUCGAGCGUAGUAACUCUUCUCCCGAUCUGGAAGGUCGCGCUGGGCCAUAAACGCAAUCUUUCAA